RNAcentral lists this transfer RNA (77 nucleotides) under Crassvirales sp. RNAcentral describes it as "tRNA-Leu". It matches the Rfam family "tRNA". From Rfam's summary of the family: Transfer RNA (tRNA) molecules are approximately 80 nucleotides in length. Lineage: Duplodnaviria; Heunggongvirae; Uroviricota; Caudoviricetes; Crassvirales. The record is from RNAcentral.
GCCCGAGUACGCUAAUUGGCAGUGCGAGUAGAUUUAGGAUCUACUGGUUGUGAGUUCGAAUCUCACCUCGGGUACCA